This 482-nucleotide ribosomal RNA is filed under the name uncultured bacterium. RNAcentral describes it as "partial 16S ribosomal RNA". It matches the Rfam family "Bacterial small subunit ribosomal RNA", at positions 28 to 523 of the family's 1533-position model. The record is from RNAcentral.
GACGAACGCUGGCGGCGUGCUUAACACAUGCAAGUCGAACGAUGAAGCCCAGCUGGCUGGGUGGAUUAGUGGCGAACGGGUGAGUAACACGCUGGCAACCUCCCCCAAACUCUGGGAUACCUCCUCGAAAGAGGUGCUAAUACCGGAUACGAACUAGACAGACAUCUGUACCAGUUGUAAAGCUGUUCGGUUUGGGAUGGGCCCGCGGCCUAUCAGCUUGUUGGGGAGGUAACGGCUCACCAAGGCUACGACGGGUAACCGGACUGAGAGGGCGACCCGUCACACUGGGACUGAGACACGGCCCAGACUCCUACGGGAGGCAGCAGUGGGGAAUAUUGCGCAAUGGGCGAAAGCCUGGCGCAGCGACGCCGCGUGAGGGAUGAAGGUCUUCGGAUCGUAAACCUCUUUCAGUAGGGACGAAGCGAAAGUGACGGUACCUAAAGAAGAAGCACCGGCUAACUACGUGCCAGCCGCCGCGGUAA